GCUUUUGUAGACAUAUGCAAAUAUAUGAAAAUAGUAAUGCUGUGAAGCUGCUCUUGGAGAUAAAGAUGAAGAAUUUAUGUCCACCAAAAUCCAACUUCCUGUUCUUAAAGUACAAAAUAUUUGUGUUUUCAGUUUUAUCUUUCCCACCUCAAUUAUCACCAAAUUUAAUUAAAAGAAAAAAAUAUUCUGGAGCAUUAAUUUGUUUCUCUGUAAACUUUCCAUCUCAGAGAGAACCAAGUUUCAGAUUGUAGACCUGUCUUAAAUUGCCUUAUUAUUUGUUUAAUGUAUUUAUUUAUUUUGAGAGAGAGAGAGUAAGCAAGCAGGGGUGACAGAAAGAGGGGGAGAGAGAGAGAAUCCCAAGCAGGUUCUGGACACUGUCCACACAGAGCCCAGUGCAGAGCUUGAUCCACAAACCAUGAGGUCAUGACCUGAGCUGAAAUCAAGAGUCUGACACCUAACUGACUGAGCCACUCAGCACCCUCCCUUAAACUGCCUUUCUAUCUGUUGCAAGAAGUUUCACAAUGAAAGGAAAGUCUUGGAAAAGUCGUGAUGGGUGAAUGGUUAUCAGAACUUGUUUCAGUUAUUCUCAUUGUCGUAUACAUUGGUGCAGGUGAACCAAGUUGGAAUGAAAAAAUGACUAUAUGCUGGUAGCAUGAGUUCAUUCAGAACUGGGGAUCUAAGCAGCUUCCACUGUGAUGCUACAGAUAUGACUAUGAUAAAUGUCCUGGGUGCGCUCGAAGGCAGAAGUGAGGAGAUGGAUGGAUGGAGAGGAAAUGAAAUAGAAGAUCCACAGUAGACUACAGAAGCUGACUCUAGAAAAGGGUAGAAGAUGACAUUUUGAAGGUAGAAAAUGCAUUAAAAGAAUUGAAAGUAUCUCUCUCUCUCUCUCUUCCCUGCCCUACAUCUCUCUAGCUAUCCAUCUAUCAUCUUGUAUCUGUGUAUCUAUGCAUGGGUGUGUAUGACAUAUUAAGUAAGAAAAAUAACCAAGGCAACGUAACUUUCCCUAAUAGGGUAUUAAACUUUGAACAGUUGGUUGAAGUGCAGAGUCGUAACUAAUUGAAAUUAGUAUAUCAGCUCUGGUAAAAUAAAUUUGACAGGAAAAUUGGGACUAGCAAAUAUUUCUUUUAAUAUAUAAAA
Molecule: long non-coding RNA, 1137 nt
Organism: Felis catus (domestic cat)
Lineage: Eukaryota; Metazoa; Chordata; Mammalia; Carnivora; Felidae
Exons: 3
Source: RefSeq, a predicted model, not a curated record